CAUGCAAGUCGAACGGUAACAGGAAGCAGCUUGCUGCUUCGCUGACGAGUGGCGGACGGGUGAGUAAUGUCUGGGAAGCUGCCUGAUGGAGGGGGAUAACUACUGGAAACGGUAGCUAAUACCGCAUAAUGUCGCAAGACCAAAGAGGGGGACCUUCGGGCCUCUUGCCAUCGGAUGUGCCCAGAUGGGAUUAGCUUGUUGGUGGGGUAACGGCUCACCAAGGCGACGAUCCCUAGCUGGUCUGAGAGGAUGACCAGCCACACUGGAACUGAGACACGGUCCAGACUCCUACGGGAGGCAGCAGUGGGGAAUAUUGCACAAUGGGCGCAAGCCUGAUGCAGCCAUGCCGCGUGUAUGAAGAAGGCCUUCGGGUUGUAAAGUACUUUCAGCGGGGAGGAAGGGAGUAAAGUUAAUACCUUUGCUCAUUGACGUUACCCGCAGAAGAAGCACCGGCUAACUCCGUGCCAGCAGCCGCGGUAAUACGGAGGGUGCAAGCGUUAAUCGGAAUUACUGGGCGUAAAGCGCACGCAGGCGGUUUGUUAAGUCAGAUGUGAAAUCCCCGGGCUCAACCUGGGAACUGCAUCUGAUACUGGCAAGCUUGAGUCUCGUAGAGGGGGGUAGAAUUCCAGGUGUAGCGGUGAAAUGCGUAGAGAUCUGGAGGAAUACCGGUGGCGAAGGCGGCCCCCUGGACGAAGACUGACGCUCAGGUGCGAAAGCGUGGGGAGCAAACAGGAUUAGAUACCCUGGUAGUCCACGCCGUAAACGAUGUCGACUUGGAGGUUGUGCCCUUGAGGCGUGGCUUCCGGAGCUAACGCGUUAAGUCGACCGCCUGGGGAGUACGGCCGCAAGGUUAAAACUCAAAUGUAUUGACGGGGGCCCGCACAAGCGGUGGAGCAUGUGGUUUAAUUCGAUGCAACGCGAAGAACCUUACCUGGUCUUGACAUCCACGGAAGUUUUCAGAGAUGAGAAUGUGCCUUCGGGAACCGUGAGACAGGUGCUGCAUGGCUGUCGUCAGCUCGUGUUGUGAAAUGUUGGGUUAAGUCCCGCAACGAGCGCAACCCUUAUCCUUUGUUGCCAGCGGUCCGGCCGGGAACUCAAAGGAGACUGCCAGUGAUAAACUGGAGGAAGGUGGGGAUGACGUCAAGUCAUCAUGGCCCUUACGACCAGGGCUACACACGUGCUACAAUGGCGCAUACAAAGAGAAGCGACCUCGCGAGAGCAAGCGGACCUCAUAAAGUGCGUCGUAGUCCGGAUUGGAGUCUGCAACUCGACUCCAUGAAGUCGGAAUCGUUAGUAAUCGUGGAUCAGAAUGCCACGGUGAAUACGUUCCCGGGCCUUGUACACACCGCCCGUCACACCAUGGGAGUGGGUUGCAAAAGAAGUAGGUAGCUUAACCUUCGGGAGGGCGCUUACCACUUUGUGAUUCAUGACUGGGGUGAAGUCGUAACAAGGUA
RNAcentral lists this ribosomal RNA (1454 nucleotides) under metagenome. RNAcentral's name for it is "bacterial SSU rRNA". It matches the Rfam family "Bacterial small subunit ribosomal RNA". The record is from RNAcentral.